AUUGAACGCUGGCGGCAGGCUUAACACAUGCAAGUCGAGCGGGGUGAUGGUGCUUGCACUAUCACUUAGCGGCGGACGGGUGAGUAAUGCUUAGGAAUCUGCCUAUUAGUGGGGGACAACAUCCCGAAAGGGAUGCUAAUACCGCAUACGUCCUACGGGAGAAAGCAGGGGAUCACUUGUGACCUUGCGCUAAUAGAUGAGCCUAAGUCGGAUUAGCUAGUUGGUGGGGUAAAGGCCUACCAAGGCGACGAUCUGUAGCGGGUCUGAGAGGAUGAUACGCCACACUUGGACUGAGACGCGGCCCAGACUCCUACGGGAGGCAGCAGUGGGGAAUAGUGGACAAUGGGGGGAACCCUGAUCCAGCCAUGCCGCGUGUGUGAAGAAGGCCUUAUGGUUGUAAAGCACUUUAAGCGAGGAGGAGGCUCUUUUGGUUAAUACCCAAGAUGAGUGGACGUUACUCGCAGAAUAAGCACCGGCUAACUCUGUGCCAGCCGCCGCAGUAA
This 503-nucleotide ribosomal RNA is filed under the name uncultured bacterium. RNAcentral's name for it is "partial 16S ribosomal RNA". It matches the Rfam family "Bacterial small subunit ribosomal RNA", at positions 30 to 523 of the family's 1533-position model. The record is from RNAcentral.